This 386-nucleotide long non-coding RNA is filed under the name Elaeis guineensis (African oil palm). RNAcentral describes it as "long non-coding RNA (EGUI_LNC020712)". Lineage: Eukaryota; Viridiplantae; Streptophyta; Magnoliopsida; Arecales; Arecaceae. The record is from RNAcentral.
AUGGUUUCUUAACUGAGGGGUAAGAUUGCAUUCCAGGAUCAUUUAGAAGCUUGGGAGAGGGGGACUGCCUAGAUGUAGUAGCAUCCAAGAAUCCUUAGUAUUUAGGCAGUAAUAGUUCAAACAGUUUUGGUUUCCUUUCAGUUUGGUCUUACAGAUUUUAAGACUGGAUGUUAGUUCAUAAUAUUUUAGCAUUGAUGUCAAGAAAGCAGUAGGCUACAGUCUUUUUUCUUGGAAAAGUAAUAAAAAAUAAUUAGUACAAAAGAAAUUUACCAAUCUACCUGAAUCUUGGAUCAGGAUGUAGAGUUUAUCAAAUUUCAGUUAUCUAGUAAUCUGAUGCAUGAUUUGGCUUUGUUAGCAAUUGUUGGUGCAACCAAUGACUAAGAAUG